This is a long non-coding RNA of Ahaetulla prasina, 1687 nucleotides long. RefSeq lists it as uncharacterized. The transcript has 3 exons. Lineage: Eukaryota; Metazoa; Chordata; Lepidosauria; Squamata; Colubridae. The record is from RefSeq and is a predicted model, not a curated record.
AUUCAAGGCAGUGAACAUAUCCGGUAUAGCUUUUUCCUCCCAUUUUUCCCACAUCAACCCUGUGAGGUAGGCUGGCCUGAGACAGAGUCAGCCAAGGUUAUCCAGGUGGCUUUCAUGGUUAAGAUUUAUCUGGUAACUAAGACAUUCCCUACCCUGAAGAGCUGGUUGCUUUAAUUGAAGACUGAAAUGAAAUAAACAGGAGUGGAAAAGCAGAAGGCAUUGCGCCUCGUUCAUAUUCCAAAUGGCGUAGGUUGGUAGGCAGCUUUGCAAAUGGGGAUUAAGAGCUUUCAUAAACACAUGAAAAUCUAUUUCAGUUGCAAUGAUCAGAAGAAAGCAGUUGAAAACAUCUUCUGGUGGACCAGUUGCUCCAUUCAGCUUCCCAAACAACUGAUUGGCAGCGGAUCGAGUACCCUGUUAAUGUGGGAAUUUUGGCUUGAGCAAACUCUCUCACUUCCCUGGGCCAUUUACCCACCCCACCAAUCAACUGUUUUGUUGACCUGAUUUGAAUGUGAUUUGGUUGAAUGCUCUUUGAAAUUUCCAGGCUUGCUGGACCCUGUAUCAAAACACCUGCUGAACAAUUGAUUGGUGGGAUGGCUGAGCUACCCAUUAAAACAGAGGCAGUAACUAUGUGCUCAUCUGUUAAAACAUUGGCAGAAUUUUCCAUCAUCCGGCAAUUUUCAGAAAUGGAGAAGUCAGCCUUUGCUUUCAUGCAAGUCGCGCAACAAAAAUCAGAACACCCCUAUCUAGCAGCAAGCCAGGAACCGAGGCUGUCGGGAAAGGGUAGAGAAGGGCUGUGAGCAUAUCAAAUUUUAUGGAAUAAUUUUUUUUGCCAGUAACAGAUGGAUAUCAUUUCAUGGGAGUCUUCAACGCCACCCAAAUGUGUGUUGAAAAAUGGCCGUAUUUCUUCUGUGUUUUUCCAGGAUAGAACCUUCAACCUGCCAGAAGCUCAGGAGCUCAGCUGCAGCUGAUAACUAUUGAAAAGUUGCCUAUGAUUGCUGCAGGUCUGUAGCCCAUCAAAGUCUUUUCUAGGUCAAGACUUCCCUGACCUACUGGCUUGUCAUCCAUGACACCUUCCAUAAUUUUUCACUUGUAGGACAUCAAACUGGAGAAGCUGGUUGAUAUAUGAAAAGGUUACAUUAGAAAAUUUAUCUGCUGAAAGGAUCUGAUACAUAUGCUAUAAAUUCAGUCACAGCACCAGCUGGUUAAAAGCCUAUCUUCCUCAAAGCUAAGGAAGAAAAGCUUACAAAUUAAAUAAAAAGUCCUCUCCUUGAUUAGUUUCCACCCAUUGCUUCUUGUUCUACUCUCAGGUGCUUUGGAGAAUAGUUUGACCCCCUCUUCUUUGUGGCAACCCCUGAGAUAUUGGAACACUGCUAUUAUGUCUCCCCUAGUCCUUCUUUUCAUUAAACUAGACAUACCCAGUUCCUGCAACCGUUCUUCAUAUGUUUUAGCCUCCAGUCCCCUAAUCAUCUUUGUUGCUCUUCUCUGCACUCUUUCUAGAGUCUCAACCCCUUUUUUACAUUGUAAAAAUGAAUGUACAUUUACAUUCAUUACAAAACUGAAUGCAAUAUUCCAAGUGUGGCCUUACCAAGGCAUUAUAAAGUGGUAUUAACACUUCACGUGAUCUUGAUUCUAUCCCUCUGUUUAUGCAGCCCAGAACUGUGUUAGCUUUUUUGGCAGCUGAUGCACA